RNAcentral lists this ribosomal RNA (466 nucleotides) under Vreelandella stevensii. RNAcentral's name for it is "partial 16S ribosomal RNA". It matches the Rfam family "Bacterial small subunit ribosomal RNA", at positions 338 to 795 of the family's 1533-position model. The record is from RNAcentral. Lineage: Bacteria; Pseudomonadati; Pseudomonadota; Gammaproteobacteria; Oceanospirillales; Halomonadaceae.
CCUACGGGUGGGCUGCAGUGGGGAAUAUUGGACAAUGGGGGGAACCCUGAUCCAGCCAUGCCGCGUGUGUGAAGAAGGCCCUCGGGUUGUAAAGCACUUUCAGUGAGGAAGAACGCCUGGUGGUUAAUACCCAUCAGGAAAGACAUCACUCACAGAAGAAGCACCGGCUAACUCCGUGCCAGCAGCCGCGGUAAUACGGAGGGUGCGAGCGUUAAUCGGAAUUACUGGGCGUAAAGCGCGCGUAGGUGGCUUGAUAAGCCGGUUGUGAAAGCCCCGGGCUCAACCUGGGAACGGCAUCCGGAACUGUCAAGCUAGAGUGCAGGAGAGGAAGGUAGAAUUCCCGGUGUAGCGGUGAAAUGCGUAGAGAUCGGGAGGAAUACCAGUGGCGAAGGCGGCCUUCUGGACUGACACUGACACUGAGGUGCGAAAGCGUGGGUAGCAAACAGGAUUAGAUACCCUGGUAGUC